This 1283-nucleotide ribosomal RNA is filed under the name Salmonella enterica subsp. enterica serovar Infantis. RNAcentral describes it as "partial 23S ribosomal RNA". It matches the Rfam family "Bacterial large subunit ribosomal RNA", at positions 1540 to 2802 of the family's 2925-position model. The record is from RNAcentral. Lineage: Bacteria; Pseudomonadati; Pseudomonadota; Gammaproteobacteria; Enterobacterales; Enterobacteriaceae.
AUCCGGUUCACUUUAACACUGAGGCGUGAUGACGAGGCACUACGGUGCUGAAGCAACAAAUGCCCUGCUUCCAGGAAAAGCCUCUAAGCAUCAGGUAACAUCAAAUCGUACCCCAAACCGACACAGGUGGUCAGGUAGAGAAUACCAAGGCGCUUGAGAGAACUCGGGUGAAGGAACUAGGCAAAAUGGUGCCGUAACUUCGGGAGAAGGCACGCUGACAUGUAGGUGAAGUGAUUUACUCAUGGAGCUGAAGUCAGUCGAAGAUACCAGCUGGCUGCAACUGUUUAUUAAAAACACAGCACUGUGCAAACACGAAAGUGGACGUAUACGGUGUGACGCCUGCCCGGUGCCGGAAGGUUAAUUGAUGGGGUCAGCGCAAGCGAAGCUCCUGAUCGAAGCCCCGGUAAACGGCGGCCGUAACUAUAACGGUCCUAAGGUAGCGAAAUUCCUUGUCGGGUAAGUUCCGACCUGCACGAAUGGCGUAAUGAUGGCCAGGCUGUCUCCACCCGAGACUCAGUGAAAUUGAACUCGCUGUGAAGAUGCAGUGUACCCGCGGCAAGACGGAAAGACCCCGUGAACCUUUACUAUAGCUUGACACUGAACAUUGAGCCUUGAUGUGUAGGAUAGGUGGGAGGCUUUGAAGCGUGGACGCCAGUCUGCGUGGAGCCGACCUUGAAAUACCACCCUUUAAUGUUUGAUGUUCUAACGUGGAUCCGUAAUCCGGGUUGCGGACAGUGUCUGGUGGGUAGUUUGACUGGGGCGGUCUCCUCCUAAAGAGUAACGGAGGAGCACGAAGGUUGGCUAAUCCUGGUCGGACAUCAGGAGGUUAGUGCAAUGGCAUAAGCCAGCUUGACUGCGAGCGUGACGGCGCGAGCAGGUGCGAAAGCAGGUCAUAGUGAUCCGGUGGUUCUGAAUGGAAGGGCCAUCGCUCAACGGAUAAAAGGUACUCCGGGGAUAACAGGCUGAUACCGCCCAAGAGUUCAUAUCGACGGCGGUGUUUGGCACCUCGAUGUCGGCUCAUCACAUCCUGGGGCUGAAGUAGGUCCCAAGGGUAUGGCUGUUCGCCAUUUAAAGUGGUACGCGAGCUGGGUUUAGAACGUCGUGAGACAGUUCGGUCCCUAUCUGCCGUGGGCGCUGGAGAACUGAGGGGGGCUGCUCCUAGUACGAGAGGACCGGAGUGGACGCAUCACUGGUGUUCGGGUUGUCAUGCCAAUGGCACUGCCCGGUAGCUAAAUGCGGAAGAGAUAAGUGCUGAAAGCAUCUAAGCACGAAACUUGCCCCGA